CCUACGGGAUGCAGCAGUGGGGAAUAUUGCACAAUGGGCGCAAGCCUGAUGCAGCCAUGCCGCGUGUAUGAAGAAGGCCUUCGGGUUGUAAAGUACUUUCAGCGAGGAGGAAGGCAUUAAGGUUAAUAACCUUGGUGAUUGAGGUUACUCGCAGAAGAAGCACCGGCUAACUCCGUGCCAGCAGCCGCGGUAAUACGGAGGGUGCAAGCGUUAAUCGGAAUUACUGUGCGUAAAGCGCACGCAGGCGGUCUGUCAAGUCGGAUGUGAAAUCCCCGGGCUCAACCUGGGAACUGCAUUCGAAACUGGCAGGCUAGAGUCUUGUAGAGGGGGGUAGAAUUCCAGGUGUAGCGGUGAAAUGCGUAGAGAUCUGGAGGAAUACCGGUGGCGAAGGCGGCCCCCUGGACAAAGACUGACGCUCAGGUGCGAAAGCGUGGGGAGCAAACAGGAUUAGAUACCCUAGUAGUC
RNAcentral lists this ribosomal RNA (465 nucleotides) under uncultured bacterium. Its description in RNAcentral is "bacterial SSU rRNA". It matches the Rfam family "Bacterial small subunit ribosomal RNA", at positions 338 to 795 of the family's 1533-position model. The record is from RNAcentral.